Molecule: ribosomal RNA, 282 nt
Filed under: Burkholderia sp. SJZ115
Lineage: Bacteria; Pseudomonadati; Pseudomonadota; Betaproteobacteria; Burkholderiales; Burkholderiaceae
Also listed under: 2 other names
Description: partial 16S ribosomal RNA
Rfam family: Bacterial small subunit ribosomal RNA
Source: RNAcentral
UUGAACUGAAGAGUUUGAUCCUGGCUCAGAUUGAACGCUGGCGGCAUGCCUUACACAUGCAAGUCGAACGGCAGCACGGGUGCUUGCACCUGGUGGCGAGUGGCGAACGGGUGAGUAAUACAUCGGAACAUGUCCUGUAGUGGGGGAUAGCCCGGCGAAAGCCGGAUUAAUACCGCAUACGAUCCAUGGAUGAAAGCGGGGGACCUUCGGGCCUCGCGCUAUAGGGUUGGCCGAUGGCUGAUUAGCUAGUUGGUGGGGUAAAGGCCCACCAAGGCGACGAUC